UUAAGCGACUAAGCGUACACGGUGGAUGCCCUGGCAGUCAGAGGCGAUGAAGGACGUGCUAAUCUGCGAUAAGCGUCGGUAAGGUGAUAUGAACCGUUAUAACCGGCGAUUUCCGAAUGGGGAAACCCAGUGUGAUUCGUCACACUAUCAUUAACUGAAUCCAUAGGUUAAUGAGGCGAACCGGGGGAACUGAAACAUCUAAGUACCCCGAGGAAAAGAAAUCAACCGAGAUUCCCCCAGUAGCGGCGAGCGAACGGGGAGCAGCCCAGAGCCUGAAUCAGUGUGUGUGUUAGUGGAAGCGUCUGGAAAGGCGCGCGAUACAGGGUGACAGCCCCGUACACAAAAAUGCACAUGCUGUGAGCUCGAUGAGUAGGGCGGGACACGUGGUAUCCUGUCUGAAUAUGGGGGGACCAUCCUCCAAGGCUAAAUACUCCUGACUGACCGAUAGUGAACCAGUACCGUGAGGGAAAGGCGAAAAGAACCCCGGCGAGGGGAGUGAAAAAGAACCUGAAACCGUGUACGUACAAGCAGUGGGAGCACGCUUCGGCGUGUGACUGCGUACCUUUUGUAUAAUGGGUCAGCGACUUAUAUUCUGUAGCAAGGUUAACCGAAUAGGGGAGCCGAAGGGAAACCGAGUCUUAACUGGGCGUUAAGUUGCAGGGUAUAGACCCGAAACCCGGUGAUCUAGCCAUGGGCAGGUUGAAGGUUGGGUAACACUAACUGGAGGACCGAACCGACUAAUGUUGAAAAAUUAGCGGAUGACUUGUGGCUGGGGGUGAAAGGCCAAUCAAACCGGGAGAUAGCUGGUUCUCCCCGAAAGCUAUUUAGGUAGCGCCUCGUGAAUUCAUCUCCGGGGGUAGAGCACUGUUUCGGCAAGGGGGUCAUCCCGACUUACCAACCCGAUGCAAACUGCGAAUACCGGAGAAUGUUAUCACGGGAGACACACGGCGGGUGCUAACGUCCGUCGUGAAGAGGGAAACAACCCAGACCGCCAGCUAAGGUCCCAAAGUCAUGGUUAAGUGGGAAACGAUGUGGGAAGGCCCAGACAGCCAGGAUGUUGGCUUAGAAGCAGCCAUCAUUUAAAGAAAGCGUAAUAGCUCACUGGUCGAGUCGGCCUGCGCGGAAGAUGUAACGGGGCUAAACCAUGCACCGAAGCUGCGGCAGCGACACUAUGUGUUGUUGGGUAGGGGAGCGUUCUGUAAGCCUGUGAAGGUGUACUGUGAGGUAUGCUGGAGGUAUCAGAAGUGCGAAUGCUGACAUAAGUAACGAUAAAGCGGGUGAAAAGCCCGCUCGCCGGAAGACCAAGGGUUCCUGUCCAACGUUAAUCGGGGCAGGGUGAGUCGACCCCUAAGGCGAGGCCGAAAGGCGUAGUCGAUGGGAAACAGGUUAAUAUUCCUGUACUUGGUGUUACUGCGAAGGGGGGACGGAGAAGGCUAUGUUGGCCGGGCGACGGUUGUCCCGGUUUAAGCGUGUAGGCUGGUUUUCCAGGCAAAUCCGGAAAAUCAAGGCUGAGGCGUGAUGACGAGGCACUAUGGUGCUGAAGCAACAAAUGCCCUGCUUCCAGGAAAAGCCUCUAAGCAUCAGGUAACAUCAAAUCGUACCCCAAACCGACACAGGUGGUCAGGUAGAGAAUACCAAGGCGCUUGAGAGAACUCGGGUGAAGGAACUAGGCAAAAUGGUGCCGUAACUUCGGGAGAAGGCACGCUGAUAUGUAGGUGAAGUCCCUCGCGGAUGGAGCUGAAAUCAGUCGAAGAUACCAGCUGGCUGCAACUGUUUAUUAAAAACACAGCACUGUGCAAACACGAAAGUGGACGUAUACGGUGUGACGCCUGCCCGGUGCCGGAAGGUUAAUUGAUGGGGUCAGCGCAAGCGAAGCUCUUGAUCGAAGCCCCGGUAAACGGCGGCCGUAACUAUAACGGUCCUAAGGUAGCGAAAUUCCUUGUCGGGUAAGUUCCGACCUGCACGAAUGGCGUAAUGAUGGCCAGGCUGUCUCCACCCGAGACUCAGUGAAAUUGAACUCGCUGUGAAGAUGCAGUGUACCCGCGGCAAGACGGAAAGACCCCGUGAACCUUUACUAUAGCUUGACACUGAACAUUGAGCCUUGAUGUGUAGGAUAGGUGGGAGGCUUGGAAGUGUGGACGCCAGUCUGCAUGGAGCCGACCUUGAAAUACCACCCUUUAAUGUUUGAUGUUCUAACGUUGACCCGUAAUCCGGGUUGCGGACAGUGUCUGGUGGGUAGUUUGACUGGGGCGGUCUCCUCCUAAAGAGUAACGGAGGAGCACGAAGGUUGGCUAAUCCUGGUCGGACAUCAGGAGGUUAGUGCAAUGGCAUAAGCCAGCUUGACUGCGAGCGUGACGGCGCGAGCAGGUGCGAAAGCAGGUCAUAGUGAUCCGGUGGUUCUGAAUGGAAGGGCCAUCGCUCAACGGAUAAAAGGUACUCCGGGGAUAACAGGCUGAUACCGCCCAAGAGUUCAUAUCGACGGCGGUGUUUGGCACCUCGAUGUCGGCUCAUCACAUCCUGGGGCUGAAGUAGGUCCCAAGGGUAUGGCUGUUCGCCAUUUAAAGUGGUACGCGAGCUGGGUUUAGAACGUCGUGAGACAGUUCGGUCCCUAUCUGCCGUGGGCGCUGGAGAACUGAGGGGGGCUGCUCCUAGUACGAGAGGACCGGAGUGGACGCAUCACUGGUGUUCGGGUUGUCAUGCCAAUGGCACUGCCCGGUAGCUAAAUGCGGAAGAGAUAAGUGCUGAAAGCAUCUAAGCACGAAACUUGCCCCGAGAUGAGUUCUCCCUGACCCUUUAAGGGUCCUGAAGGAACGUUGAAGACGACGACGUUGAUAGGCCGGGUGUGUAAGCGCAGCGAUGCGUUGAGCUAACCGGUACUAAUGAACCGUGAGGCUUAACCUU
This 2901-nucleotide ribosomal RNA is filed under the name Escherichia coli. RNAcentral describes it as "bacterial LSU rRNA". It matches the Rfam family "Bacterial large subunit ribosomal RNA". Lineage: Bacteria; Pseudomonadati; Pseudomonadota; Gammaproteobacteria; Enterobacterales; Enterobacteriaceae. The record is from RNAcentral.